UUUCAAAUGAACGUGACAGGAAUCGCAGGGGUGCCCAGUACACGGCCCUGCACACAGGUACCUCGGCUUGGCAGCCAUGCCUCUGCUCUCUCCCCUGACCUUCAUAUCACCUUCCUUCAGGUGACUUGGUACCCCAGCCUGGGGCUUGGGAACGUCACAGCGGACCUGCCAGUGUCCUGAAGUAUCCAGGAGACUGGCUGGGGCCCAGCGCCUCCCCCACCCCACAAAGGGACUACUGUGGGGAGCACAGAGGAGCCGCCUGUCCUGGAGGCUGGGGUUCUACCUCCUGCGAACAAUGGCCGGACUCAGUGCAGACACUGCCAUUGAAGUGCGGGCAUUCUGUCUUUUGAAAAGGGCAGAGAGGAGCCUUGUGUUUGCAUCUCCUCUCUGGCCUCAAAACCCAGUGGCUUUUCCAGUGAAACCAGCACUGUGGCCUCCCGUGCCCUCACCCGGGGAGCCGGAGCAGCUCCAAAGUCCAUCCCGUGUGCUGAGGUGCCACUGGCCUCAGAGCCUCUGCCAGCCAUCGAAGUGGGGUCCCUGGGUCCCCAUCCCUGCCAAGAACCCCUUUCCACAGGUGAGCUGUGCCCUGAGCCCCAGGCACUGCCUAGAGGUCUCCACACCCCACCUUCACGAAGGAAGCAGGGCUCUGCCCUCACUCCCCAGAUCCCUGCCCUCGAGCCCCAGCACCCUGGAGACAGUCGUCCAGGAGAGGUGGUUCAGGCGCACUGGACGGGGCUGCAGUCCCCUUCCAAAAGGAAGCAGGUGCAGAGUGAUUGAAAAUACGUCCUCUCUGAAAUGGCUUCAGCCACAGCGGUGGCUCUCAUAGAGUGGGGUCCCGGGGCCACUGCAGCAGCGGCAGCAUCUGGGAACCGGUAGGAAAUGCAGGUCCUCAGGCCCCGCCCAGACCUGUGGCAUCACACACUCGGGCAGGCAGCAGCCUGUGCUUUAAGGAGCCCUCGAGGAGCUUCUGAUCACACAAGUUCAAGACCCUCGGAAGAGCCUGCCUCUGAAGGAAGCCUGGAGCAGAGGCUCCAGCAAGGUCGUCAGCCGCCUGCAGUUCUGCCCAGUCAGUGAGUCACAGGCCCCUCCCACAGGUGGGCCACCUGCACCCAACACCUACAGCCAGGUGCUAGCAUCCCAGCAUGUGAGCCAAUGCGAGCUGACCUACAUUUACCUGAAGGUGCCCAUUGGACUGGCACAGAGCCAGCCUCGUGUGCAGGGGACAGCCCGACUCCACUCCUGCCCCUCCUGUCAACCGAGGCAGACCGGAAGGAGACCAGGCUCCAGUGUCCACAGACGUCCAUCCCAAGAUGCUCUCACUUGGCUUGUCCUCACGUCGGCCUGGGCACGACAGGAUCCCUGGGGAACCCAAGGAAAGCAUUGGGGCCCCCGGGCCUCCUGGAAGCAGAACUGGAUCUGGGAGAAGGAAGGUCACGGCAUCCCUCAGGCCUCCCCCUGCUAGCAUUUCUUCUCCCUGGUGCCUGUUCUGCCCACUCUUCUCCUCCUCCUGGUCUUGGCCCGAGGAUGAGGUCAUGGUGCCGUGCGGGGCCCAUGUGACAUUUUGCUGCAUUACCCUCCUCCCCGGGGCAUCUCCCCUCCUCUCUUCCUGGUCCAGAUACCUGAGGGGGACAUCUGACUGGCCCAGCCCAUCUUUCUGCACCAGGCUACAGGGCAUGGCCAGCCUGUGCGUGAGCUGCCUUCAGGUCAGGUGUCCACCUGAUCCAAUCGGUGUGACAAGCAGAGACUAGCAGCCAGCUUUCCUUCACGACAGCUCUGACCAUCACCUCUCACUGCAUCAUUGACUGGGCUUUGAAAAUUUUGAUUGUAAAUGCCCCCAAGUUCGUGAAGUUAUAUUUAACCCUUAAAGAUUGAUGUGUCAAGUAUGUCAACCCAAUGAUCCUGACCUAGAAGUCCAGGUUUGGUGGCAGUUGCUGUGGGUGUGUGCUGGGCCCUGGUGCCAGGGGCUUGUCUGGACAUCUGCAUGCCCCCUUCUCCGGCUAGGAGCCCAAGUUCACUCGUAUUCUCUCCAAGUGGGAACUGAACAGACCAGAGGAAAACACGUGUUUGCUGAGCCUCUGGUUUCACUUCCCAGACAGCGAGGACUCGCUGGUCACCUCCACUCUUCUUCAGGGAAGAUGGAGGCUGGCCCUCAGGACCAGGGUUCUCAGGGUGAACCUGGGGUCCGGGUGAUGGCCACGGCCAGCCUCUCUUUGACUGCCACGGGGAGUGGUUAAUAAACACCUGGGCUGGCGGAGGGAUGCCUUUCUUCCAGGAAAUUAGUUCAGGAGAGCUUGGUGGCCUGGAUCAAGUCUCCUGUUAAAGAGUAACUUACACCCCAUAUUACAUUUGAGUCCCGGGAGUAAAUAUCCAGGGGAAGUGUUUAUUUUAACAGGUGAACAAAGCAUCCUUUGUGGGCCAGCUCUGCCAGCGCCAGGAUCUCCUUUGAUAGCAACUGGCUGGCACAGCCCCUGGGAACAUGCAGCCUUGUGGUUGACCAGUUAACCACUCUCCGGGUGGGUUUAUCCACUCUGGUCUUUGCUUUCCCAAGCAUGGGAUUGAUGGAGCUGUCAGCACCCCCUCCAGACCGUCCACAUCAGAGUGGGAUGGGAUCUCUCUCCCCUCGUCUGGAGUGAAGGUGUUGUGCGCCCUCAGAGUGGGCCGUCCAAACCUGAACUUCUAGGUCAGGGUUGUUGGGUUGACACCCCAUGUACCACCUCUCUAGGGUCUCGCGGUGUCUCCCAGACCCUCCUGGAAGCAGCUCCACAGAUCUGCUGGCUCUAAACCCUCCCCACUGGCUGCACCUCUGUGCGUCCCAGGAGGGAGCUUUGCUAAAAUACACUUUUCCUGGGCCCCAGCCUGGAUGACUCAAUUAAAUUCCUGGGGGUGAGAGUCUGGCACUUGUACUUAAAAAAAAAAAAAGAAAAAAGAAAAAAACCUCCUUUGUCUGAUUCAAAACAAUGUAGGGAGAAGGGGAACUGGGUAGAGUAUAAAUAAAACAAGAUGGGCAUGAGUUGAUGGUUGAUAUGGGGAUAUGAAAGUUCAGUAUAAAUCCUGUCUACUUAUGUAAAAAGUUUGGUGUAAAAUAUUAACAAUGUUUCACAUAAUGAAAGUUUUAAAAAAAUGCUCCCCAAGAGAUUCUGCUCUGCAGCCGAACUGAGAACGCCAAAAGUGAGCCCCACGGGAUUUGAUGGGAGUAAGUCGGCUUGGGCAAGAUACCGACUCAGAAAGCAGAGCUGCUCCUGACCCCGAUGCAGCAGCCUGUGGUCAGCUCCACUCCGUUCCUUCUGAACACCGGGCUCCGUCAGAUCCAGUCCCUGCCAGACCGGACCCUCACACAGCUGGAGGUGACGCCGGGCAAGUCACCCAACCUCUCUGAGCCUCAACUUCCUCAUCCGUAAAGUGGGCGUGCUGACUCCUGUGGGGGCCAUUGCUGCAGCCUUGGGUCCUCCGCAGCAGACGCAGGUCAUAAGGAAGGUCUAUGCGCACUGACAGAAUCUCCAAGAUUUAGUCUGCUCAAGGGAAAAGCAGUUUACAGCAUGAUACAUACAGAGCGACACCCUUUGAGUUUAAACACACACACAGGCGCAAAACUCAAACUAUGUGUUUAUAUAGGCACGAGCUUGUAUAUCAGUAAAAAUCCGGCAAAGUAGGCACCAAAACAAAACAGGGAAUAUACCGGGAGUCGGGGGGCACAAUAAAGGGGCUUGAUCAAGAUGGACUUGGAUUUUAUUGGUAACACUUUGAUUUAUAUGAGACUGUGUUCAAGAAUUAACUGUGUGGGACUUCCCUGGUGGCAUAGUGGUUAAGAAUCGCCUGCCAACACAGGGGACACGGGUUCGAGCCCUGGUCUGGGAAGGUCCCAUAUGCCGCGGAGCAACUAAGCCCAUGCACCACAACUACUGAGCCUGCACUCUAGAGCCCGCAAGCCACAACUACUGAGCCCAUGUGCCACAACUAUUGAAGCCCGUGCACCUAGAGCCUGUGCUCCGCAACAAGAGAAGCCCUUGCAAUAAUAAGCCCGCGCACUGCAACGAAGAGUAGCCCCCACUCGCCGCAACUAGAGAAAGCCUGUGUGCAGCAACGAAGACCCAACAUAGCGAAAAAUAAAUUAAUUUUUUUAAAAAAAGAAUUACUGUGUGAUUUCAAAUAAGUAAAAAUGUAAAUUGCACCCUUCUUGCAAGGGCAAGAAGAAUUACACCCUGAGAGACUAACGCAGCCCUGCCCUCCUGCCUGGCUUCUCUCACCUUCUUGGCACCUCCGUUCCAGAAACCGUCCCCCAGCCAGGCGAGUUAUUCACUCAACAAGCAGGUGCUGCCGCCGCCUCUAUGCUGGCCUCGGUCUGGACUCUGGGUCAGAGGUGGUUCCGAGGUGGGCCUGGCCUGACCUGGACGGGCUCCCAGCCCAGAGGGACACUGCAGGCAGCCUUGACGCCCAGCUCGGCUUCCACAUGUGUCUCCUAAAUGUUUGGAGGUGCCAGAAAACCCAGCAAUAGUAUUUUUCAGGCCAA
Long non-coding RNA from Balaenoptera ricei (Rice's whale), 4507 nucleotides. RefSeq lists it as uncharacterized. The transcript is spliced from 3 exons. Lineage: Eukaryota; Metazoa; Chordata; Mammalia; Artiodactyla; Balaenopteridae. The record is from RefSeq and is a predicted model, not a curated record.